ACUGCAGACAGACAGGAGAUGGUGACAAAGCAAAAUAAUGGCAGAAAACAUUACACCUACUUACACGCUCACAAAGCAGCUACAGCAAAAAGAAUGGCCGUCACCAGCCUCAGCGCACCAGCACUGGUCAAAACGGCGCCAUUUGUGGGGCCCGAGCAGUCGUCAUUGUUGCCACUGAAGCAUCCCGGGUGGAUGGCUGCCUUCGGCACUUCGCCAUCCACCUUGAAGCUGGUAGUCGGCUUGCCGUCACUGAACAGGACGCACCAGAAGUACGGUCCACCGCCAUCGGUGCCGCUCACAGCCGCCCCGACCUCCGUGUGGUUCUUGCUGCGCAGUAUCUGGAGGCCCUUCGCGUCGUUCACCAACAAGACGCCAAAGGCCUCAGCUGGAGCCAAGUACUGGGACUGGCAAGCCACCAGCCUUCCGGUGAUCUUGGAGAGGGUUGUGGCCUGGACGCCACAGGUCGGGGCGAACGUGUCGGUGAAGCUUGACUCCAUCGGCUUCUUGUCGUCCACCUGGUCACAAUGGCCUUCGUAUGCUUUGAUGUACUGCAGAGCGAUGCAUCCCAAACCUUGGUUGUCCGAAACAGAAGAUGCCUUGCCAGCAGUGCGGUUGCUGUUGAUCAGUGCCACGAGCUCAUCAGCAGGGUUGCCUGAAAAGAAAAUUAGUCAUGAAAAUGGUCCUAACCAUUUCACUAAAAGUGUUGCUAUUUUAAUAGGGUUAUUUAAAUAUUUUAGCAAAGUAGCUACAUGGGAGAACCACCUUACGUUACAUGAAGUGCAGCAAAAGUGCAAAACCAUACAUUAUUUUACUACCU
RNAcentral lists this unclassified non-coding RNA (817 nucleotides) under Zea mays. RNAcentral describes it as "misc RNA Zm00001eb177320". The record is from RNAcentral. Lineage: Eukaryota; Viridiplantae; Streptophyta; Magnoliopsida; Poales; Poaceae.